Molecule: ribosomal RNA, 484 nt
Filed under: uncultured bacterium
Lineage: Bacteria
Description: partial 16S ribosomal RNA
Rfam family: Bacterial small subunit ribosomal RNA
Source: RNAcentral
AUUGAACGCUGGCGGCAGGCCUAACACAUGCAAGUCGAGCGGAUGAAGGGAGCUUGCGCCUGGAUUCAGCGGCGGACGGGUGAGUAAUGCCUAGGAAUCUGCCUGGUAGUGGGGGAUAACGUCCGGAAACGGGCGCUAAUACCGCAUACGUCCUGAGGGAGAAAGUGGGGGGGCGUCGGACCGCAUGCUAGCAUAGGAGCGGAGGUGGGAGUAGUUAGUUGGUGGGUUAAAGGCCUACCAAGGCGACGAUCCGUAACUGGUCUGAGAGGACGGUCAGUCACACUGGAACUGAGACACGGUCCAGACUCCUACGGGAGGCAGCAGUGGGGAAUAUUGGACAAUGGGCGAAAGCCUGAUCCAGCCAUGCCGCGUGUGUGAAGAAGGUCUUCGGAUUGUAAAGCACUUUAAGUUGGGAGGAAGGGCAGUAAGUUAAUACCUUGCUGUUUUGACGUUACCAACAGAAUAAGCACCGGCUAACUUCGUG